RNAcentral lists this transfer RNA (69 nucleotides) under Ictidomys tridecemlineatus (thirteen-lined ground squirrel). Its description in RNAcentral is "Spermophilus tridecemlineatus (thirteen-lined ground squirrel) tRNA". It matches the Rfam family "tRNA". Rfam says of the family: Transfer RNA (tRNA) molecules are approximately 80 nucleotides in length. Lineage: Eukaryota; Metazoa; Chordata; Mammalia; Rodentia; Sciuridae. The record is from Rfam by way of RNAcentral.
GGGGUUGUGGCUCAGUGGUAGAGCCUUUGCCUAGCAUGUAUGAGGCCCUGGGUUCGAUUCUCAGCACCA